AAUUGUAUUUUGCAUGUCUGAAAUGAAAGCUCAGAGAAUGGGGGAAUAUUUCUUACAAACACGGACUCUGUCAUUGCCCUCAAGGUGCAUUCUUGGCUGGAUCCCUGUGUAUUUCCUCUUUGCUUUGUUGAUGUGCCGGGUCGCUGUACUGAUGCUGCACACCUGAGCCCAACUUCCUGCAUCUGUGCCCAGGUGGACGGUGCCGGCAGAGCAGCCAACUCGAAGCAGAGAUGAAGUGCAGCUGCGGGUGCUGGUGUGAGCCCCAGUGAGAGCUGGAACUGACGGUGUGUGACCAACUGCAGCAGCCAGGGAACAAUGGCUCCGAGGAGAGAGAGUCACAACGUCCAGCGGUGAGUGUCCUUUGGUUUCCUCAGGGAACACGGGAGGCCAAGGACACUUAGCUUUGCCAGAUUCCUGGAACUCCAGCCCAGCCGGCCAUCCGAGUCCUCCGUCCGCUCACCGAGCUGUGCUGGAAACUAACCUGUCACGGUGGAACUGAGCCCGAGGGAGGUGCCACAAAGUGAAACUGGCUUCUGGAUCUGCUGGGUGAGAGUGAAAGUAAAGGUCACUUUUUGGUCCCCUGAGACCAAGACGCGACGGCAGCUCAUCCCUCAGCCCUGCAUCCUUCCUUCCGAGCCCCGGAUCACGCAGACCUUACAGAGUCUUCAUACGGAGUGGUGAACACCACCAGUUUCUCAUCUUUGUUCAUGAGCUGUCCGCACGGAAUCUAAAAGAAAAAAAAAAUGAAGGACGUGAGGCUCAGACGUGUCUCAAAUGAAGUUUACUAUCCCAGCCAGAUGCGAGAAGACAGACCACAAGCUUACCUUCUGCCGGGUCCUAAUCAAAGUGACAAAGGAGACAAUUGGACAAAAGAUACUCUGCAAUCAAAGGGCUUCUCUUUCAAGUGGAAGCAAAUAAAUAAAAUAAAGCCCACCCUGAGGACACAGGCCUUGUCAAUAUCAUUGCCUCAUUUCUUUCAGAGGAAAUAAACAACAGAAGGCCAGGAUUGAGAAAACAUUUGGAGUCUCGCUUUGUUGCCUGGGCUAGAGUGCCGUGGUGUCA
This is a long non-coding RNA of Lemur catta (Ring-tailed lemur), 1062 nucleotides long. RefSeq lists it as uncharacterized. The transcript is spliced from 8 exons. The record is from RefSeq and is a predicted model, not a curated record. Lineage: Eukaryota; Metazoa; Chordata; Mammalia; Primates; Lemuridae.